RNAcentral lists this ribosomal RNA (491 nucleotides) under uncultured bacterium. RNAcentral's name for it is "bacterial SSU rRNA". It matches the Rfam family "Bacterial small subunit ribosomal RNA", at positions 32 to 531 of the family's 1533-position model. The record is from RNAcentral.
AAUCAACGCUGGCGGCGUGCCUCAGACAUGCAAGUCGAACGAUUAAAGCUCUCUUCGGAGAGUGUAUAGAGUGGCGCACGGGUGAGUAACACGUAAGUAAUCUACCCUCGAGUGGGGAAUAACAACCGGAAACGGUUGCUAAUACCGCAUAAUGCAGCGGCACCGCAAGGUGACAGUUGUUAAAGAUUUAUCGCUUGAGGAGGAGCUUGCGGCAGAUUAGCUAGUUGGCAGGGUAACGGCUUACCAAGGCUACGAUCUGUAACCGGUCUAAGAGGACGGUCGGUCACACUGACACUGAAUAACGGGUCAGACUCCUACGGGAGGCAGCAGUCGGGAAUUUUGGGCAAUGGGCGAAAGCCUGACCCAGCAACGCCGCGUGAAGGAUGAAGUAUUUCGGUAUGUAAACUUCGAAAGAAUAGGAAGAAUUAAUGACGGUACUAUUUAUAAGGUCCGGCUAACUACGUGCCAGCAGCCGCGGUAAAGUCUGUACU